GUCAGUUUGACUCUACUAUUGAUAAUAGAAUCCAGGCAGCUAUUAUAUAUUUCUUAACUCUACAUGAAUGCAUUGAUGACAUAGAGAAUUGAGUGGACGACAGGUUGAGAGAGAUAUCGGUCCCUGACCUUGCAGUUUUCUAGGAAGUCUUAGACAAGGCUAAAGCUUAUAUUAUGGCAUAGUAGAGCCACCGGAUUAUGAUAUCUUCAGAUACUAUAGCUUAAGAAUCUAAGGAUGAAGCUCCAUUAAUUAAAAUCACUGGGAAACUAGUGUACAAAAAGAAAUAAAAGGAAGACAAGAAAGAGAAAAGUAAGUAAAAAAAAGUGACAAUGGUGAAGAAAGAAGAGCUGACAGAAGAGAGAAGAUAAAGGAAGAAAAUAAAAAUCAGAAAGAAGAUUCAAGAGAAUCAAAGGUGGGGGUGAACCACUCGAAGAAGCAUUGAGAGCUAGAGUUGUGGAAGCCUCAGCCAGUGGGCCUCCGUUGACUGUGGGAGAUACUAUUAUCGAGUUUUUUACUCCUUCAACGACUGGUAUAGAUGCAUCAGCCCAGCUAGAUACCACUGAUAAGAAUACACCCGCUGAUGAUGCAACAACACAGUCAGCGGUUCGUGAGUCACACACUUAAGG
RNAcentral lists this long non-coding RNA (626 nucleotides) under Capsicum annuum. RNAcentral describes it as "long non-coding RNA (CANN_LNC010733)". Lineage: Eukaryota; Viridiplantae; Streptophyta; Magnoliopsida; Solanales; Solanaceae. The record is from RNAcentral.